RNAcentral lists this long non-coding RNA (1501 nucleotides) under Nothobranchius furzeri (turquoise killifish). RNAcentral's name for it is "lncRNA (ENSNFUG00015002099.1)". Lineage: Eukaryota; Metazoa; Chordata; Actinopteri; Cyprinodontiformes; Nothobranchiidae. The record is from RNAcentral.
AUGCUAAAUACACCACAAGCAACUGUGACAAAGCAAAGCAACCAAAGAAGUCUGAUUCAGAGGAAGACACCAUGUAAACCAGGCAUCAAGAGGAAGAGAAGGAGUCAGUCAAGCAGAAGCAGAGGAGAGAAAGGAUCUCACUGCAGACAGAUUCAGAUUCUGGAGGCGACUCUUGGCGGACUGCUGCAGCUCCUCGGUGCGCCUGCUGAGGUGUUUCACCUGCUGGCUCCAUCCCUCCAUCUGCAGCAAGUCGGCCAGCUGCCCCUCCCUCUCCCCCAUGGCGUCCAGGUCUCCAUGGAGACCGCAACACUCCCUCAGCACCGCCUGUCACAAUCAGACCAUAAAUUACAAGUCAAAGAGAGGAGGUUCCUCCGUUGGGUGAUGAUACUAAUUAAGGUCAGCCAACAUGGAGGCUUUCACUGGAAACCACAAUCUAAUUAACCGCAGAUUUGAGACGUAUCUUCAGAUCUCAUAAGGCAUGUUGUCUCCUCAUGCCCGUUCUCCGUCUUCUUCUCCAUCACCACCUCCCUUCCAUCCUCUCCUCUAAGGCAGCGAGUUUGCUGCCCCAGCAAGGCCAGUAUGGACUGCUCCUUCUCCACCUCCUGGCUGAAGGAGUCGUGGUACUCCAGCAGGCUCUGGAGUGCCGCCCUGGUGGCCGCCUUCUCCACGGUGCUGUCUGGAAGGCGACUGUGGAGGUCUCUGGACACAGAACUCACUUUCUCCACCUAAAUGUCAGAAAUUAGAAAUGAAGAGUUAUCAGAUGUUUUUAUAAAGAAGGAAAAUGUGAUAAUGACUUAAGUAGGCUUUAGGUUAAGGAUACAUAUGUCUUCUACAGCGUUUAUGUUAGAUUAAGUAUCAUCAAAUAGCAUUUAUAUGACUGUUCAGAAAAAAGCAAACUUGAUCUGCAUGUAUUUGUCUUCAUGCACGGUGCUAGAAAAUCAGUUUCAGUAAUUUCUCAUGUAAAAAUAAGAUUUCUGAAUAGUGAAAACAGAAAAAAAACAUUUCUUAGGUGUAGAAACAGCUCUGAGAAAAGUGAUUUAAAAGGGUGCUGUUUAUCACUUUUACGCUUAUAACAGAAGUAAUAAAAUCACAAAAUUAAAUCAAAAAUAGAGCAAAUUUUACUUCUACUGACACAACAUUUCUGAGGUGAACAGUUUCUGUUUCAAAAGCCUCUAAAGAAAGUUUGUGAAAGUCAGAGGUGAAUGACAUCAUGUCCAGAAAAACAAAGGAGCCACAGACAAAAACACACAAUGGACAACAGGAACGUGCCACAUAUGAGGAAGUGGACAUCCUCCUGAGUCUGACUUCACUUCCUCUUUAGAAACGGUGCUUUGUGGGUGUUCUUGGGAGCAGACAGAGAGUGAGCGUGAAUUGGGUCAAAAGGCGGGAAAACGCUUCAUGACAGAGAGUUUUGGCAGGAAAACACAGCUGGCCUAAAGCCUGGAGUUACAUCUCUCUCUCUCUCUCUCUCUCUCUCUCUCUCUCUCUCUCUCUCUCUCUC